GCGGGCGUAGUUCAAUGGUAGAACAUCAGCCUUCCAAGCUGAAUACGUGGGUUCGAUUCCCAUCGCCCGCUCCA
Molecule: transfer RNA, 74 nt
Filed under: Elusimicrobiota bacterium
Lineage: Bacteria; Pseudomonadati; Elusimicrobiota
Also listed under: 1 other name
Description: Elusimicrobia bacterium tRNA-Gly
Rfam family: tRNA
About the family: Transfer RNA (tRNA) molecules are approximately 80 nucleotides in length.
Source: RNAcentral